CGCACUGCACUAUCCGGACGACACCCCCGUGAUAGUAUGCCCCAUUGAGUGUCAUUUAUACAUUCGGACGCUGGCGUGUUUAUUCACGCCUUCGGACGAGUACGAGGUCCACAUCUGCUUUUGCGGGUGCGCUCCUUGAGAUGCAGUAGCACCGAGUCUGUCUGGUGUCCAUCCUGUGAUGAGAUUGCAGGCCACGGCACGGACAAUGGUACCGGCGCUUACAAUCGCCCUUGUGGCAAACCGGACGCUUGCGUUCCACUCUCGUACAUGACCUCAGCGGGGUAGGAUUACCCGCUAGACUUAAGCAUAUUAAUCAGCGGAGGAAAAGAAACUAACAAGGAUUCCCCUAGUAACUGCGAGUGAAGAGGGAAGAGC
This 375-nucleotide unclassified non-coding RNA is filed under the name Tulasnellaceae sp. RNAcentral's name for it is "partial contains 5.8S ribosomal RNA, internal transcribed spacer 2, and large subunit ribosomal RNA". The stretch from base 269 to 375 matches the Rfam family "Eukaryotic large subunit ribosomal RNA", at positions 1 to 108 of the family's 3401-position model. The record is from RNAcentral. Lineage: Eukaryota; Fungi; Basidiomycota; Agaricomycetes; Cantharellales; Tulasnellaceae.